GAAUCCCGUCUUUGGCACGGAUGCCUGGUGCUUCUGUGAUGCGCUCUCGAAGAGUCGAGUUGUUUGGGAAUGCAGCUCAAAAUGGGUGGUGAACUCCAUCUAAAGCUAAAUAUUGGCGAGAGACCGAUAGCGAACAAGUACCGUGAGGGAAAGAUGAAAAGCACUUUGGAAAGAGAGUGAAACAGUACGUGAAAUUGUUGAAAGGGAAACGCUUGAAGUCAGUCGCGUCGACCGAGACUCAGCCUUGCCUUGGCUUGGUGUACUUCUCGGCCUGACGGGUCAGCAUCAAUUUUGCCCUUUGGAUAAUGGCAGGGGAAAGGUGGCACCUUUACGGGUGUGUUAUAGUCUCUUGUCGCAUGCGAGGGGUGGGAUUGAGGAACUCAGCGCGCACCUCAGUGUCGGGGCUUCGGCCCACGUCACGCGCUUAGGAUGCUGGCGUAAUGGCUUUAAACGACCCGUCUUGAAACACGGACCAAGGAGUCCAACACGCCCGCGAGUGUUCGGGUGGAAAACCCGUGCGCGUAAUGAAAGUGAAAGUUGGGACCUCUGUCGUGGAGGGCACCGACGCCCGGACCGGACCUUCUGUGACGGAUCUGCGGUAGAGCGUGUGUGUUGGGACCCGAAAGAUGGUGAACUAUGCCUGAAUAGGGUGAAGCCAGAGGAAACUCUGGUGGAGGCUCGUAGCGAUUCUGACGUGCAAAUCGAUCGUCAAAUUUGGGUAUAGGGGCGAAAGACUAAUCGAACCAUCUAGUAGCUGGUUCCUGCC
This 766-nucleotide ribosomal RNA is filed under the name uncultured Lactarius. RNAcentral's name for it is "partial 28S ribosomal RNA". It matches the Rfam family "Eukaryotic large subunit ribosomal RNA", at positions 216 to 962 of the family's 3401-position model. Lineage: Eukaryota; Fungi; Basidiomycota; Agaricomycetes; Russulales; Russulaceae. The record is from RNAcentral.